This 213-nucleotide ribosomal RNA is filed under the name uncultured bacterium. RNAcentral's name for it is "partial 16S ribosomal RNA". It matches the Rfam family "Bacterial small subunit ribosomal RNA", at positions 524 to 737 of the family's 1533-position model. The record is from RNAcentral.
UACGUAGGGGGCAAGCGUUGUCCGGAUUUAUUGGGCGUAAAGAGCGUGUAGGCGGUUUGGUAGGUCCGCUGUGAAAACUCGAGCUCAACCUCGAGACGCCGGUGGAAACCAUCAGACUAGAGUCCGGAAGAGGAGAGUGGAAUUCCUGGUGUAGCGGUGAAAUGCGCAGAUAUCAGGAAGAACACCCGUGGCUAAGGCGGCUCUCUAGUACGG